RNAcentral lists this ribosomal RNA (632 nucleotides) under Graphyllium caracolinense. RNAcentral's name for it is "eukaryotic LSU rRNA". It matches the Rfam family "Eukaryotic large subunit ribosomal RNA", at positions 21 to 667 of the family's 3401-position model. The record is from RNAcentral. Lineage: Eukaryota; Fungi; Ascomycota; Dothideomycetes; Hysteriales; Hysteriaceae.
AUACCCGCUGAACUUAAGCAUAUCAAUAAGCGGAGGAAAAGAAACCAACAGGGAUUGCCCCAGUAACGGCGAGUGAAGCGGCAACAGCUCAAAUUUGAAAUCUGGCCCCCUUGGGGGUCCGAGUUGUAAUUUGCAGAGGAUGCUUCGGCGUGGGCCCCGGCCUAAGUUCCCUGGAACGGGACGUCGCAGAGGGUGAGAAUCCCGUACGUGGCCGGCGGUGCUCGCCAUGUGAAGCUCCUUCGACGAGUCGAGUUGUUUGGGAAUGCAGCUCUAAAUGGGAGGUAGAUUCCUUCUAAGGCUAAAUACCGGCCAGAGACCGAUAGCGCACAAGUAGAGUGAUCGAAAGAUGAAAAGCACUUUGGAAAGAGAGUCAAAAAGUACGUGAAAUUGUUGAAAGGGAAGCGCUUGCAACCAGACCUGACCGCGGUCGCUCAUCCGGGCUCCUGCCCGGUGUACUCGCCCGCGGCCAGGCCAGCAUCGGUUCUGGCGGUCGGACAAAGGCGGCGGGAACGUGGCUCCCUCCGGGGAGCGUUAUAGCCCGCCGCGCAAUGCGGCCAGCCGGGACCGAGGUCCGCGCUUCGGCUAGGAUGCUGGCGUAAUGGUGGCAAGCGGCCCGUCUUGAAACACGGACC